RNAcentral lists this unclassified non-coding RNA (303 nucleotides) under Hevea brasiliensis (rubber tree). Lineage: Eukaryota; Viridiplantae; Streptophyta; Magnoliopsida; Malpighiales; Euphorbiaceae. The record is from RNAcentral.
UUUUUUUUUUUUUUUUGAACUUACAUGUAGUCUAACUGCAUCUACUUAACAAAAUGACCUUCUAAGAAUUUAUUAUUUUAGAAAAGGCAAGUGUUAUGGUCUAAUAGAUAACCUAGGAAAACUACAAAAAUGCAUUUCAACAGAUAGUGUUGCCUUAUGGCCCAUCAUAAGACGGAGGGGGAAAAAAAAUUGUUAUGAUCGCUUGCCCAGGAUCUGGUCCUGGGCCUCUUAAUAGUGAAAUCUAAUUCAAAAGCUAAAGCUUUUGCUUUACCUCAAUUCUUUCCUCGACCUAUUGUUGCUGAA